Long non-coding RNA from Felis catus (domestic cat), 725 nucleotides. RefSeq lists it as uncharacterized. The record is from RefSeq and is a predicted model, not a curated record. The transcript has 5 exons. Lineage: Eukaryota; Metazoa; Chordata; Mammalia; Carnivora; Felidae.
GCAGUCUGCCUCCAGAGGGUGCGUGUAUGGGGUAGGUGUGAAGGACGAGGACGGAAAGCCUGGGUCCAAUGGGUGGUGGUGGAGUAUCUUCUCUUGGAAAAACAAAUCAACUGUGUUAACAUCAACAAGGAAGUCUUCUCUGGAAUGAAGCUGUAUCUGUAGACAUGUCUCCCCCUGGCAAGCAGGCCUUCGUGGUAGCAAAUGAACCUCACGUCAAACCCACCCCAAUAUCUCUGGGAUUUGGUUUGCGAGCCCUGGCACCACACUUUAUGUUUACAAAAGUCAAGAGGAAAGAGAGAUCGAAGAGGAGAGGCAUGAGGAGGAAACAGACAAGCACACACAGAGGCCAUUUUACUCCCAUGAAGAGGAGCAGAUGUUUCCAUAAUGCAAAAUCCAAAAGCUGGAGCUUUCUCUUCUGUCUGCAUUUUGAAUCUUAGGAAAGCAUCCAGUUAACAUCACAGACCUCCAACUCGCUUUCUCCCAAGGAGCCAUUUCUUCGGGAGGAGGAGUUCGUCUGCCUCCGUCCAAAGUCUACCACUCUCUCAAGGAUCAACUCUUCCAGGAAGUCUUCCCUGACUACCUUUCCCAGCUUGGAGCCUGCAAACAUUCAACUACCACUUAAUUAACGUGCCAUCAUGCCUUGCCAGUUAAGUUGGAAUACCUUAACAUCUUAUGACUGAUUUCUUUUAGAUCAAAUCUACCUGGCUUCUCGUACUACCUGGAAA